Phoenix dactylifera (date palm) is the source of this 1559-nucleotide RNA transcript. It is a transcript of the gene named nudix hydrolase 23, chloroplastic-like, with no coding region annotated. The record is from RefSeq and is a predicted model, not a curated record. NCBI's taxonomy places the organism in Eukaryota, Viridiplantae, Streptophyta, Magnoliopsida, Arecales, Arecaceae.
CGGCGAGACGCACCGAAUUGAAUCCAUCAAACAGACGGCCAGGGUUUCCCGAUCCGUCCGUCAGCGCGUCUCGACCACCGGGGGCACCUUCCAGCCACCAAUUCUGUUGGCGAUGUGUCCGAAGCGCGACCUCAACCACCGCCGCAUCGCUCCCUCCUCGAGCUACUCCUACCGAGCCUCCGAGUUAUAAUCUUCUUCUCCCCCGAAUCAUGCUCAGAUCCCUCCACCUCCUUGUCGGAUUUGGGGUCGUCUCUCCGUUCCUCCUCCAAUGCAAGACUCGUAGCCUCGCCGCCCUCCCCACGAUCGCCGCCCUCUCCAACCCCCGAGGACUCUCCUCCACUCUCCCGAUCGCUCGCUCUCGAUCCGGUGCCUGUUUCAGGGCCUUUCGGAUGUCUUCCCGUGAUUCGGAGACAAGCUCCGCCGCCGAUGUGGCCUCCGGGCAGGCGGUGGCGCCGCCCGUGGUAUAUAAGUCCAAAGUUAGCUUCUGUCAGGCUUGUGGGAACCCAACUAAGCAAAUUAUACCGGAUGGGGAAGAAAAGAUCAGAGCAGUUUGCACGGUCUGUGGGAGAGUCCACUAUGAAAACCCAAAAAUGGUUGUUGGUUGCUUAGUGGAACAUGAUGACAAGGUUUUGCUAUGCAAACGCAAAAUUGAGCCGUCUUAUGGACUCUGGACUCUUCCUGCUGGUUAUUUGGAAAUUGGGGAGUCAGCUGCAGAAGGAGCAUGCAGGGAAACCUUGGAAGAAGCAUGUGCUGAAGUGGAAGUACUUUCACCAUUUGCUCAGUUAGAUAUUCCUCGAAUUGGCCAAAGUUACAUCAUUUUCCGAGCAAGACUAAAGACACCCCAUUUUUCACCAGGCCCUGAGUCAUUGGAAUGUGCACUUUUUGCGUUGGAUGACAUACCAUUUGAUUCCCUAGCAUUUUCAUCAAUCAUUGUCACCUUAAAGAUUUUUCGUACUCCUUUGAAGUCUGAUGGACUAUAAACGAUCAUAAAAGGAAAGAGCUGGUUAGACACAAACUCAAGUGCAUAUCCUGACACAUGCUAACACCCAAGGAACUUCUGCUAAAGACUUUUUAGACCGGGAGCGAGCCCAUCUGACCCCCUUGGUUUUGAUGUGGACCACCAUUUGCAUUCAUGAACAUGGUGCAUUCCUUUUGAAUCAUAGUCAGCUAUUGGGAUAAUGACGAAAGAUUGGUACUGAUGAUUUGCUCAGCGGAAGAUAUCAUAAUUGCUUCUCAAUCAAGAUUGAGGUAGCUGGGCUGAAGCUUCUGUCAUCGUGGCCAUCUGAAUAGUGCCAGGUAUUUGGUACUGAAUGGAAGCACAUGUUUUCUUUUAGAUUAGGUUUUAUGAAAUGUUUUUCGUGUAUGCAGUGAAGGAUGGUACUAUCUCUUUUACUUGUUCAAAACACUUGAAGUUACAUCAUUAUUUUCAUUUUGUGAAUCUUUGGUGUUAAAUAUGGAGAUGUUAAACAAAGUCUUUGUGGGAGAUGGUUUUUAGUUAGGCUGCUGGAUUAUUUUCUGUAGGUAUUUUUUAUCAAUUAUGCUAUUUUUUAUAUCUAUAA